This 951-nucleotide non-coding RNA is filed under the name Eugnathogobius variegatus. Its description in RNAcentral is "12S ribosomal RNA". It matches the Rfam family "Bacterial small subunit ribosomal RNA". The record is from RNAcentral. Lineage: Eukaryota; Metazoa; Chordata; Actinopteri; Gobiiformes; Gobiidae.
CAAAAGCUUGGUCCUGACUUUACUGUCAGCUUUGGUCAAAUUUAUACAUGCAAGUAUCCGCAUCCCCGUGAGAAUGCCCUAUAUAUUCCAAACAUGGAAAAAAGGAGCAGGCAUUAGGCACAACCCUACGUUAGCCCAAGACGCCUUGCUUAGCCACACCCCUACGGGAUUUCAGCAGUAAUAAACAUUAAGCAAUUAGUGCAAACUUGACUUAGUUAAGACCAGAAGGGCCGGUAAACCUCGUGCCAGCCACCGCGGUUAUACGAGAGGCCCAAGUUGACAAAUACCGGCGUAAAAUGUGGAUAGUAUACAGUAUUUCACUAAAGUCAAACAUCUUCAAAGCUGUCAUAUGCACUCGAAGACAGGAGGUUCUUCCACGAAAGUGACUUUAAAUAAUAUUACCCCACGAAAGCUAGGAAACAAACUGGGAUUAGAUACCCCACUAUGCCUAGCCCUAAACACGAGUAGCUUAUUACAUCUCUUACUUGCCAGGGAACUACGAGCCCCAGCUUAAAACCCAAAGGACUUGGCGGUGCUUUAGACCCACCUAGAGGAGCCUGUUCUAGAACCGAUACCCCCCGUUCAACCUCACCCUCUCUUGUUUUUUCCGCCUAUAUACCGCCGUCGUCAGCUCACCCCAUGAGGGCUUAAUAGUGAGCAAAAUUGGCACAACCCAAAACGCCAGGUCGAGGUGUAGCGUACGAGAGGGGAAGAAAUGGGCUACAUUCACUAAGUAAGUGCAUACGAAUACUGUUUUGAAAUAAACAUUUGAAGGAGGAUUUAGCAGUAAGUGGGGAAUAGAGCGCCCCUCUGAAACUGGCCCUGAAGCGCGCACACACCGCCCGUCACUCUCCCCAAAAUAGUAAACAAUGAAUAAAUAAAUAAUAACGAAGACAAAGGGGAGGCAAGUCGUAACAUGGUAAGUGUACCGGAAGGUGCACUUGGAAAAAC